CCUAAUAUUCUUGUUCAAUCUCAAUCAGGAUCUACACAGGUGUAGUCCGGCUUGUGCCGCCUAAGUGCCAGUGGUAGCUCCAGCAUUCCCACUCUAGGAAUGAGUCUAUCCCUCCAGGCCCCGUAGGCUACUCGAUACCGCACGAGCGAACAUAAGUCGUGUAGGCUAACUCCGGAGUGCCGGCUUGUAGGGAGCGACCCUCACAAGCAUGUGCGAAUGAGCACAAAUGGCAAGCAAGCAUGGUCAAUACCUCAAUAGUCCAAUCGUCAUGUCUCCAAUAUGGUAAUAGCCACCCAACAGUCAUCAUAUCUCUAACAUGGUAAAAGUCACUAGCAUCUCGAAGAUCUAGUUCA
This 353-nucleotide long non-coding RNA is filed under the name Ananas comosus (pineapple). Its description in RNAcentral is "long non-coding RNA (ACOM_LNC039335)". The record is from RNAcentral. Lineage: Eukaryota; Viridiplantae; Streptophyta; Magnoliopsida; Poales; Bromeliaceae.